CAGCAGCCACGGUAAAACGAAGGGUGCAAGCGUUACUCGGAAUUACUGGGCGUAAAGCGUGCGUAGGUGGUUGUUUAAGUCUGCUGUGAAAGCCCUGGGCUCAACCUGGGAAUUGCAGUGGAUACUGGGCAACUAGAGUAAGGUAGAGGAUAGUGGAAUUUCCGGUGUAGCAGUGAAAUGCGUAGAGAUCGGAAGGAACAUCUGUGGCGAAGGCGACUAUCUGGGCCAUUACUGACACUGAGGCACGAAAGCGUGGGGAGCAAACAGGAUUAGAUACCCCUGUAGUCCCUGUCUCUUAUAC
Molecule: ribosomal RNA, 301 nt
Filed under: uncultured bacterium
Lineage: Bacteria
Description: partial 16S ribosomal RNA
Rfam family: Bacterial small subunit ribosomal RNA
Source: RNAcentral